This 322-nucleotide ribosomal RNA is filed under the name uncultured eukaryote. Its description in RNAcentral is "partial 18S ribosomal RNA". It matches the Rfam family "Eukaryotic small subunit ribosomal RNA", at positions 1470 to 1796 of the family's 1831-position model. The record is from RNAcentral.
CCCUUAGAUGUUCUGGGCCGCACGCGUGCUACACUGGGUGGAUCAGCGGGUCAGGUUGCGCGAAAGCGUUUCCUAAUCUUUAAAUCCGCUCGUGAUGGGGAUUGACGGUUGCAAUUUUCUGUCAUGAACGAGGAAUACCUUGUAAGCGCGGGUCAUCAUCCCGCGCUGAAUACGUCCCCGCCCUUUGUACACACCGCCCGUCGCUCCUACCGAUUGAGUGGUCCGGUGAGGCUUUGGGAUCUGAGCGGAAAGAGCGUUUCGCUGUUUCUGCUCGGAAAACUCAGUCGAACCUUAUCAUUUAGAGGAAGGAGAAGUCGUAACA